UGUUAUAAAAUUCGUCCAUUUUUACUGUUACAAAACCGGCGUAGCUGACAGAAUAACUAGACAAUUACACGUUACAUGCCAUGUGUACCUUGUGCCAACAUACAGAGAUAAGUUUUGACUAUAGUAGAAAUAGAUAACAUUUUUAACA
This is a non-coding RNA of Gossypium raimondii (Peruvian cotton), 148 nucleotides long. The record is from Rfam. Lineage: Eukaryota; Viridiplantae; Streptophyta; Magnoliopsida; Malvales; Malvaceae.